UACGGGGGGAGCAAGCGUUGUUCGGAUUUACUGGGCGUAAAGGGCGCGUAGGCGGCCUGCUACGUCGAACGUGAAAUCCCUGGGCUCAACCCAGGAACUGCGUCCGAUACUGGUUGGCUUGAAUCCGGGAGAGGGAUGUGGAAUUCCAGGUGUAGCGGUGAAAUGCGUAGAUAUCUGGAGGAACACCGGUGGCGAAGGCGACAUCCUGGACCGGUAUUGACGCUGAGUGAGCGAAAGCCAGGGGAGCAAACGGG
RNAcentral lists this ribosomal RNA (254 nucleotides) under uncultured bacterium. RNAcentral's name for it is "partial 16S ribosomal RNA". It matches the Rfam family "Bacterial small subunit ribosomal RNA", at positions 524 to 776 of the family's 1533-position model. The record is from RNAcentral.